This 775-nucleotide ribosomal RNA is filed under the name uncultured Neocallimastigales. RNAcentral's name for it is "partial large subunit ribosomal RNA". It matches the Rfam family "Eukaryotic large subunit ribosomal RNA", at positions 24 to 635 of the family's 3401-position model. Lineage: Eukaryota; Fungi; Neocallimastigomycota; Neocallimastigomycetes; Neocallimastigales. The record is from RNAcentral.
UAUCUCUGUAGAGUCUGCAUAUCAAUAAGCGGAGGAAAAGAAACUAACUAGGAUUCCCUCAGUAACGGCGAGUGAAGCGGGAAGAGCUCAAAUUUGAAAUCUUCAAGGUUUUACCUUGACGAAUUGUAGUUUAAAGAAGUGUUUUCUGUUGGAGUUUUGGUAAAAGUUCUUUGGAAUAGGACAUCAUAGAGGGUGAGAAUCCCGUAUUUGACCAUUACUUCCAGCUUUGUGAUACACUUUCAAAGAGUCGGAUUGUUUGGGAAUGCAGUCCAAAAUGGGUGGUAAAUUUCAUCUAAAGCUAAAUAUUGGCGAGAGACCGAUAGCGAACAAGUACCGUGAGGGAAAGAUGAAAAGAACUUUGAAAAGAGAGUUAAACAGUACGUGAAAUUGUCAAAAGGGAAGCGUUUGACACCAGUGUUGUUUUCUCGAAAAUCAAUUAAAAAAGGCAGGAUUUUGUGUUGUAUUGACUUUAUCAGCUUUCUGCACUCUUUUCUUGUCUUUUUUUAAUGCACUUUUCGUUUAACAAGUCAACAUCAAUUUCUUUUGUUGUAAAAGGGUCAUUGGAAGGUGGCUUUCUUUUCGGAGAAAGUGUUUAUAGCCUUUGGCCUCUGCAAUCGGAGAGAUUGAGGUCUGCAGCGUAGAUCCUUCGGGGUUAGAUACAUUUGUGCUAAGUUAUAGCCUUUCAUAGACAACUUGUUGACUAUGAUCAGUCAUGUAGCUUACUCGCUUAUGCUAUUUUACCUACGCUUAGGAUGUUGAAGAUGUAGCACAUCAU